Molecule: RNA transcript, 2988 nt
Organism: Melanotaenia boesemani (Boeseman's rainbowfish)
Lineage: Eukaryota; Metazoa; Chordata; Actinopteri; Atheriniformes; Melanotaeniidae
Gene: capn12
Gene name: calpain 12
Exons: 21
Source: RefSeq, a predicted model, not a curated record
UAAGUGCCGAUGUAUCACACGUUGCGCAUGAUUAAGAGUCUUUCUGUGCAUCGUUUAGCGGCAUGGCUUCUGACAACACUGCACCGCUGGGCUCCGUCGAAAACCCAAUAAAAUUUCGGGACCAGGACUUCAAACUUCUUUUGGACAAGUGUUUGCAGUCCGGUGUGCUGUUUUCUGAUCCGACCUUCCCGGCUGACCAGACGUCCAUCGGUAUGCCCGCAGACCCGGAUCCAAAAAAAGAAAUUAAAUGGAAGCGCCCGAAGGAAAUCAGUAAAGAUGCUGUGUUUGUAGAGGGCACGACUGGGACCACUGAUAUUUGCCAGGGCCAACUUGGUGAUUGCUGGCUGCUGGCAGCCCUGUCCUGUCUGACCCAACACCCUAAGCUCUUUGAUAAUGUGCAGCCACCCAACCAGAGUCGGAGCAAGCCCUAUGCAGGGAUCUUCCAUUUUAGGUUCUGGCAGUAUGGUGUGUGGGUGGAGGUGGUUGUGGAUGACAGGCUGCCAGUACGAGAAGGCCGUCUGCUCUUCAGCUACUCUAACACCCGCAAUGAGUUUUGGAGCGCCCUAUUAGAGAAGGCCUAUGCCAAGUUAGUCGGAUCCUACGGGAGCCUGAAGGGGGGCAACAUUUCAGAGGGCAUGGAGGAUUUCACAGGAGGCAUUGCAUACUCACUUCCUGUCUCAUCUCACACCCCGCCAGUCAUGUGGAGGUCACUGACCGCAGCCCUUUCUCGAGGCAGCCUGCUUAGCUGCUUCAUCCAGGCCAGCAGCUACAGUGAUGUUGGUAAAAUAACCGGAGAUGGGCUGAUAAAGGGCCAUGCCUACGCCAUCACUGACACUGACAAGGUAAAGAAAGGGUCAGAUGAUAUUUUCUUACUGAGGCUGAGGAACCCCUGGGGUUUCAUCGAGUAUAAAGGACCUUGGAGUGACGCGGGUAAAGAGUGGGAUAAUGUGGACAAAUCAGAGAAAGAAAGGAUUGACCUAAAACUGAAAGAAGAUGGAGAGUUCUGGAUCAGUGUCAAUGACUUCAGCAGCCUCUUUGAUGUCGUGGAGCUCUGUAAUGUGAAUCCUGAGUCAGAUGUGGAGGAAGACGCACCCACCUCCACGUCUACCUGGACCAUCAGCGAACAUCAAGGAUCCUGGGUGCCAGGGAGCUCUGCAGGUGGCAGCUGCAAAUACACCAAAUCAUUCUGGAAGAAUCCUCAGUUCCAGCUGGUGCUCAGAGAGAAAGAUCAUGAUGAGAAAGAUAAAAAUGAAAAAAAGACCCCAGAGGAGAAGAAGAACGUGGAGAAAAAGAAGAAACAAUGCACAGUACUAGUGGAGCUGCUGCAGAAAAACUGCAGGCAGAAGGAUAAAAUUAACUUCCUCCGCAUAGCUUUUCACAUCUACAAGGUUCCAUCUGAGUUUGAGGGUUCUUGUCUGGACCGCAACUUCUUUUUGAAAAAUCAGCCUGUGGAGCAAUCUGGGGAAUACAAGGCUCAAAGAGGUGUGUGGAAGAUGCUCUACCUGGAUCCAGGUAACUACAUAAUCGUGGGGUCCAGCGAACAACCCAACCAGCCUGGAGAGUUAUUUGUUCGCAUUUUCUCCAAGACUGGAAACACGCUGGGAACGCAGGACUUUACCUGCUCCUCUGGUUUCCUCACAGUUAUGGCCACUCCUGUCUCCCCUGAGGAUCAGAUGACUGUUCAGAAGACUUUUGAUGAGAAAGCUGGCCCAAAUGACAGACUGAAUGCCAAAGAGAUCAUGGAGCUGUUUAACUCAGUUCUUGACAAAGAUUACCAUCUGCCACUGGAGACGUGCAGGCAGGUCAUCUUUGGGGAAGAUACGAAUGGACACUCCACUCUCAACCGUGCUCAAGCAGAAACAUUGCUGUCCACUCUGCGCAGUCUGCAGUCCAUCUUUUUACAGUUUGAUGAGGAUUCUUCCGGGACCAUGAGCCCUUUUGAGCUCAGUCUUGCGCUGGAAGCUGUUGGAAUGCAGUGUGAUAACAAGGUAGUUCAGCUGCUGUCUGAGCGCUUUGCAGCUGGAGAGCUUCAAAUGCCUUUCCAUGGCUUCGUGUCAUGUGUCACCAGGCUGCGCAAGCUUUUUGGUAACACACACACACACAAAAACACCAACAAGUACAGCAUUAAAAUGAGCAUCAUCUCUAAAGUGUUUCUGUCGUCAAAAUUUUAGCAUUCUUCCUCAAACAGUUCUUGAACAGGUUUUACCAUGAGGCGGUAUCUUGCUGAAAGAGGGCACUGUUAUCUCACUGGUGAUGUUUGCAACAACGUUUGAUUUUUAAGAUGUCACUGAGUAUCACACAGAUCUGCUUAACCCCAGUUAUGUCAUAUUUGCAGUAAGAUGUACUUAGCAGCAUUAUGUAGACAUGCAUAAAUGUUAAUUGCACUGAUAUCAAUUAGUUUUAAAAGCAUCUUGUAACAGUCUGUGGUUUUACAGCUUUAUGCUUCAGUGUUGCCAGUUGUCUUUAUCAUAAGAAACUCCUGUUGUUUUAGAUUUGCUUCUUUCUGUUACAAGAUCUGGCAACCUUGGAUCUGGCAUUUUUUUGUGGAUUUCAUGUGAACAGGCAACUGUAUCAUUUUUCAUUUUCAAUGUUCUUCCAUAACACAAUUUUGUUAGAUGAUGGAACAAUUCAGAUCUGCCAGCUGAUAGUUAAUGUCAUUAUUAGGCAAUCUGUCAUUUUCUCUUCUACUCUUUACAGCGCUAUAUGAAACAGAAACCAGUCAAGAAGUGAAAGACAGAGGAAUCAACUCUUGGCUGCUUCAGUUUCUGACUGUGUGAGUUUGCUGCAUCCAAAGCAUCUCCACAUGGAUCAACAUGAUCAUUAAUAAUACACUACAAGUCUAUCUUUGUUUAAAACUGUUUUUACUCACUGUAUCUAUUUUUAUUCUUACUUAAUGAAAACAUAAAAGUUUCCUUUUGUUGAUCAUUUCAUUAUUAUGUAAUACUAUUAUAGCACUCCAUAUAGUAAAUAAAAUCUAAUUCAUAAUCA